AUUGAACGCUGGCGGCAUGCCUUACACAUGCAAGUCGAACGGUAACAGGUCUUCGGAUGCUGACGAGUGGCGAACGGGUGAGUAAUACAUCGGAACGUGCCCGAUCGUGUGGGAUAACGAGGCGAAAGCUUUGCUAAUACCGCAUACGAUCUACGGAUGAAAGCGGGGGAUCUUCGGACCUCGCGCGGACGGAGCGGCCGAUGGCAGAUUAGGUAGUUGGUGGGAUAAAAGCUUACCAAGCCGACGAUCUGUAGCUGGUCUGAGAGGAUGAUCAGCCACACUGGGACUGAGACACGGCCCAGACUCCUACGGGAGGCAGCAGUGGGGAAUUUUGGACAAUGGGCGAAAGCCUGAUCCAGCCAUGCCGCGUGCAGGAUGAAGGCCUUCGGGUUGUAAACUGCUUUUGUACGGAACGAAAAGCCUCUUUCUAAUAAAGAGGGGUCAUGACGGUACCGUAAGAAUAAGCACCGGCUAACUACGUG
RNAcentral lists this ribosomal RNA (482 nucleotides) under uncultured bacterium. RNAcentral's name for it is "partial 16S ribosomal RNA". It matches the Rfam family "Bacterial small subunit ribosomal RNA", at positions 30 to 507 of the family's 1533-position model. The record is from RNAcentral.